Hordeum vulgare subsp. vulgare (domesticated barley) is the source of this 1861-nucleotide long non-coding RNA. RefSeq lists it as uncharacterized. Lineage: Eukaryota; Viridiplantae; Streptophyta; Magnoliopsida; Poales; Poaceae. The record is from RefSeq and is a predicted model, not a curated record. The transcript has 3 exons.
UCCCGGCCUCUUGCGUUCUCCCCCUGCUCGCCUCGCUCGCCGCGCCACGCCUCCCCAAGCUCGCCGCGCCUCCUCCCCCCGCUUGCCCCGCUCGCCGCGCCGCGCCUCCUCUCCCCGCUUGCCCCGCCGCGCCUCCUCCCCCCACUCGCCGGACCUACGGAUCCACGCACAGGCGGCCACCGUGCCGCGCUGCCCCACCUCCCCCCUAUUUCGCCUAUGCGCCAGACCGGACGGCCUCCGCCUUGACCAGUGCCCUCUGUACCGCAGCCGGCGGGCACCUUCGCCUCCAUGCGACGGCAACGACCGCGCCCCGUCUACAGAUAACCCGCCUCCACGCCACGCCGCUGGACCUUGCCGCCAUUGAUCUCCGCCUCGGCUUGGGACCUCUGCCCAGCUGAACGACAUUUGCUUUGGUUUUUUGUGGGGAUCAAGCUUGACUCUAGAGUUCUCAACCUAUUAAAAUAUAUUGUUACUCUUGGAGGUGGUCACCAAUAUUUCACUGCUUGGACAGUUCAUGGAAAUCUCGUAGAGUUGAUCAUAGAUGCCAUUUUAUCACAGCUGGAAUGUGAGGUUUGAUUCUUAAUGGAGGCACAUGAGCUACAACGAAGGUGAGCAGAGAGAAGGUAUUCCAGUUUCAUGGUUUAAAGGACUGAUGUUUUCACUUUAUUAUUACACAAAUGGUCUAUCUCUUAUAAACUGAAAGCAAAUUUAGGUCCAAGAACCAACCUUAUUUUGUAGCUACACUCAAUCAAGUGAACAGACUAGCAGGUAUGCCCUUAUCACUUGUGUGGAUGCAAGGAAUUCCAUAAUGAUAUUCCAUUCCACUAGAAGGAUACUUCAAGAAAACGACUAACAGAAGUUGCUUGCAUUACAAUGUUGUAAAUUUCGCAUGACCUCUUCUCGUGAAUGGGGAUUGAUGCUACAACGAUAUUCUUCACUAUUGUGUUCUAGAAGCAUUCCUCCUAUUGUGUAGUAGUAUUAUUAUUUCAGAGUCCGCCAUCUAUGUGGUGCAUCCUCGAUCACGAGUAGUAUUUUAGCCUUCUACCUUUCUGAAAUGAGUUCGUGAUUGGGGAUUUAUACCACAACGAUAUUCUUCACUAUUUGUCUCCUAGAAGCAUUCCUGCUAUUGUGUAGCAGUGCUAUUAUUUCAUAGUCCCCCAUGUAUGAGGUGCGUCCUCAACCACCAGUACUAUUCGUAUCCAUAUACCUUUCUGAAAUGAGUUAUAUCAUCUCACACAAUGGUUAUUCGUACCCUUUGUGGUACAUGUUGUGCCUUCUUCGUCCAACAAUAAAAUCCUAGGAGCUAUGCUUAUCCACGAGGUUGCCUUUUCAUCUUCAAAUUUGCAUAGAUUUUCCUUCGCUACAAUCCUAUUGUCUUGUGGUGAGCAGCUCUUGGGUAUUUGCUUUGUCCAUAAUUAGUGUUUGUAAUCAGUUUUGGCUCAUGCUGAUGAUGUUUGCCAGAAUUAAUUUGUUGCAGAUACAAUUGGCAAGUCCUAGGGAAGGAGAAAGGAUUAUCGACCAUCUGCUGCAUCUAGACUAUGCUUGAUUAUGGGUCUUUUACAAAUAUGGAUAACUUUACAAAGAAGCAAUCCGUGAAUUUGACGUUAGGCAGUUAGGCUUACGAGCUACCUUUUAGAUUAGGCUUUUGUGUAUAUAUUUACUACCCACGCGAAUGCAAAAAGAGCACCAUAGUAGUGAUGAUAACGUAGUUUUCUGUAGUUACCUAGGAUCGGUCCAUGUACUUUAUGCUGUUGUGGAUACAUGGCAUGUUAGACUAGGGUAUUACUACUUAGUGUUUCUAUAUGUAAUGUACUAUACAAAAUAUUAUGUAUGAUAUAUCAGAUCGUAAUGUUGUUUCUCC